RNAcentral lists this long non-coding RNA (268 nucleotides) under Mytilus galloprovincialis (Mediterranean mussel). Lineage: Eukaryota; Metazoa; Mollusca; Bivalvia; Mytilida; Mytilidae. The record is from RNAcentral.
UUUUCAUCCCUCUCAUUAAGUCCAUCAGGUUCAAGAGUACGUAGCUGAUGCAUCCAAACCUUUCUCUCUGUUUUCUUUUUUCGGUGUCCCAAUUUUGGUUUACCUCAAUUAUUUGAAAGGUGAUAUUAUCAAAAGUAUGUCCUGUUCUUAAGAGGUGUCUCGUAAUUGGACAGUUUCUUCCUUUAGUAUAGAACGACCGGUGAUUGUUAAGUCUGAUGUUGAAUUUUGUUUCUGUUUCACCAACAUACUGCAGCUUGCAAGUUCCGCA